RNAcentral lists this long non-coding RNA (1936 nucleotides) under Apteryx rowi (Okarito brown kiwi). Its description in RNAcentral is "lncRNA (ENSARWG00000016367.1)". Lineage: Eukaryota; Metazoa; Chordata; Aves; Apterygiformes; Apterygidae. The record is from RNAcentral.
AUGAGUGUCAAAACUGCUUUGAGGAGCACUUGCCCUGAACAUUGUAUGAAAAUUCCAUUUUGCUGUUGCACAAGACUGGGGAGCACAAACAUGGUGUCAGCGUCUUGCCUUUCCAAAAAAAAACCCAGGAGGAAACCAGAAGCUAAUCUGCAUCUGCACUCCAUAUACGGCGCAGAUAUAAGUCAGUCUGCACCUCCAGGCCUAGAGGUGACUCACCAAGAUGAGUGUUUAAACCAGCAAUACAAACUCCAGCUUGGAAACCAAACAAUAUCAGUGACUGAUCAGAUAUGACAAAUACUUGAAAAAUUUUUAAAAAGAUUAAAUUAUGCUCAUAUUUAUUCUUUCACUAACACAUUCCAUCUUCUGUUUAUCUGUCUUUUUGACUCUAUUUUAAACACAGAAUGGAGUGGUGUGAUUUUAGAUCAAAAACACAGGGAAAAAAAAGCCCUAAAGCUUCCCUAUGCUUCCCUUACACAAACACUUUAUCACCUUGGUACAUCAUCUGAGAAUGUUUCAGAAUUGUAGCAACUCAGCCUCACACGUAGCAUCUGAAUUCAAGUUUCUUUUUCUGGUAUCUCCUUUUAUGAGGGACACCCACAUGAAGCAGGUACUAUCACUCACUAGCUGAGUAACUGGCAAGAAUUUAUCCAGUUGUGCCAUUACUUAGAGAGCAAGCCAUUUGGAGUCACAAAGCAUCUAACUGGCUGUGUAUCUGUCUGACAAAUGCAUGUUCUGUAUUCUUUUUCUCCCAUCACAUUUUCCUUUAAUUUCUUAUUUUGUGCUCUCGUACCUGCUAUUUGGGAGAAUUUUGCAGCAUCAUUCCUUAUUUUUCUGCUUCUAUCAUUUCUCUAAUCUACAACUGAUGUUAGAUUAUUAUUAAAUUUUGGAGGUUUAUGGUGAUGUUUUUGUUCUCAGAAUAUUGUCUUCCUUGUUAUGAUGUUAAUUACAUGCUGAGAAAGAGUUUAUUUGCCCAUUCUAGUGAUCAAGUUAGUAGACUAGGAGUCAACAGUGACUGGAUUGCAGUUCAUUCCAGAAAUGAAGGAACAGAAUAAUCUUGAAUUUAUAAAUGGUAAGAAGUUUAGAAGAUCAAAAUCAUAAUCAUCAUUCUACAGUGGGAUGAUUCUGUUAUUGAGGUCAGUUCACUGACAUUGAUGCAAGUAUAAAUUAAUUCAGAGGCUCUGAUUUCUAGAGACUAUUUGCUAGUUAACAACUAUUACAACUUCUUAACCAGAUAAUCUGCACAAGAAGUAUCUAUUUGCAUGACAACAAUCCAUGUAGUCACUUUGCCAGUAAUUCACACCAUCUCAAAUAGGGGGGAAAGUAAAAGAAUAUGAGGCAGAGCAAAAUUCAGUCUUCACAGAAUGUUUCUUCUUGCACUUCCAUGAUUUGUUUCCAUUUCCCCUCCAUCCUGAAAAGAGAGACAUGCACAUUUUCUUGUGCUUUUGAAAAUCAUUCCCCCUCAUAGGCCUUAUUUUGUGCAGACUGUUUGUGUUAUCAGCAGUUUAAAUUUCUUCAGAAUAGGGGAACAAGGUAUAAUUAAAGGCUACAGGUAUUUACACUCUCUUCCCUGCCCUAAAGGAACUGAGCUGCUGCCAGCAAUUAAAGGUAGUUGGAAGUUUCCUGGGAUUACAGUCACCAGGAACCACUCUGUUCUCAUCUGCCUGCCCUAGAAAAACUCAUCUGCUGCUGAAUGAUAAAAACACUUCACAAUCCUCUUUAGACACUCCAAGGAAUAAUCUUCAUCUUCAAAGAAUACCUCCUGUUUUAGGUUGAAAUCCUAAUCUAAUAAGGGAACAGUGGCAAAAUUUUGCAACUCACGCAACUCCUUAUAACUAAUUUCAAAAUCUUUUAAUGAAAACAUACAAAGUGUGUGUGCAUGGAUGUUGUAAGUAAUACUCAAAAUAAAUAAAAUGCAAUAAAAAUGGAUGCUGUGGGU